CGUGUAGGCGGCCUGAUAAGUCAGAUGUGAAAGCCCUGGGCUCAACCCAGGAAGUGCAUUUGAAACUGUUAGGCUUGAGUAAGGGAGAGGGAAGUGGAAUUCCUGGUGUAGAGGUGAAAUUCGUAGAUAUCAGGAGGAACACCGGUGGCGAAGGCGACUUCCUGGCCCUAUACUGACGCUGAGACGCGAGAGCGUGGGUAGCAAACCA
Molecule: ribosomal RNA, 208 nt
Filed under: uncultured Syntrophaceae bacterium
Lineage: Bacteria; Pseudomonadati; Thermodesulfobacteriota; Syntrophia; Syntrophales; Syntrophaceae
Description: partial 16S ribosomal RNA
Rfam family: Bacterial small subunit ribosomal RNA
Source: RNAcentral